UACAGGGGGGGCAAGCGUUGUUCGGAAUUACUGGGCGUAAAGGGCUCGUAGGCGGCCAACUAAGUCACACGUGAAAUCCCCAGGCUUAACCCGGGAACUGCGUGUGAUACUGGAUGGCUUGAAUCCGGGAGAGGGAUGCAGAAUUCCAGGUGUAGCGGUGAAAUGCGUAGAUAUCUGGAGGAAUACCGGUGGCGAAGGCGGCAUCCUGGACCGGCAUUGACGCUGAUGAGCGAAAGCUAGGGGAGCAAACGGG
RNAcentral lists this ribosomal RNA (253 nucleotides) under uncultured bacterium. RNAcentral describes it as "partial 16S ribosomal RNA". It matches the Rfam family "Bacterial small subunit ribosomal RNA", at positions 524 to 776 of the family's 1533-position model. The record is from RNAcentral.